UACAGAGGGUGCGAGCGUUAAUCGGAAUUACUGGGCGUAAAGCGCACGUAGGCGGCUUGGUAUGUCGGGUGUGAAAUCCCCGGGCUCAACCUGGGAACUGCAUCCGAAACUGCCUUGCUAGAGUAUGGGAGAGGGAAGUGGAAUUUCCGGUGUAGCGGUGAAAUGCGUAGAUAUCUGGAGGAACACCGGUGGCGAAGGCGGCGUUCUGGACUGCAACUGACACUGAGAAGCGAAAGCAUGGGGAGCGAACAGG
This 253-nucleotide ribosomal RNA is filed under the name uncultured bacterium. Its description in RNAcentral is "partial 16S ribosomal RNA". It matches the Rfam family "Bacterial small subunit ribosomal RNA", at positions 524 to 776 of the family's 1533-position model. The record is from RNAcentral.